UUGCUGACGAGUGGCGGACGGGUGAGUAAUGCUUGGGAAUCUGUCUUAUGGAGGGGGAUAACGACGGGAAACUGUCGCUAAUACCGCGUAGAGUCGGGAGACGAAAGUGCGGGACUUUAAGGCCGCAUGCCAUGAGAUGAGCCCAAGUGUGAUUAGGUAGUUGGUGGGGUAAAGGCCUACCAAGCCGACGAUCGCUAGCUGGUCUGAGAGGAUGGCCAGCCACACCGGGACUGAGACACGGUCCGGACUCC
RNAcentral lists this ribosomal RNA (251 nucleotides) under uncultured Aggregatibacter sp. RNAcentral's name for it is "partial 16S ribosomal RNA". It matches the Rfam family "Bacterial small subunit ribosomal RNA", at positions 85 to 339 of the family's 1533-position model. Lineage: Bacteria; Pseudomonadati; Pseudomonadota; Gammaproteobacteria; Pasteurellales; Pasteurellaceae. The record is from RNAcentral.